CCAGCCAAGGACCUCUGUCCUCUAUCAGGGCCGCCAUUAAGAAAACGACGACUAGAGCCACUUCUCUGAGCGAGAGUAACCCCAGAGAUCGAAGGCGUCCAGAGAUCACCAUCCUUUCAGCAGAGCCACUGGUGUCUAAUACCUGGUUCCCCGGGGCUUCUGGGG
Salmo salar (Atlantic salmon) is the source of this 165-nucleotide non-coding RNA. The record is from RefSeq and is a predicted model, not a curated record. Lineage: Eukaryota; Metazoa; Chordata; Actinopteri; Salmoniformes; Salmonidae.